CGCGCCGCCCUCAGCAGCCGCCGCCGCCGCUUCUCCGGUCCCGGAUCCCCCCGCGCCCAGCUGAGGAAAUGCACGGGCGGCUCAAGCUCCGCCCCCCGGACGCGGCGCGGCGCCGGCAGCGCGAGGAGAAACUGAGGCACUACCGGGAGAGCAUGGCCGCCCUGCUGGGGGGCGUCCCCCGCCCCAGGUGCUGUCCCUGACCGCUCGGUGCUGGCCGCCAACCCCGACGUGGGC
This is a long non-coding RNA of Camarhynchus parvulus, 234 nucleotides long. RefSeq lists it as uncharacterized. The record is from RefSeq and is a predicted model, not a curated record. Lineage: Eukaryota; Metazoa; Chordata; Aves; Passeriformes; Thraupidae. The transcript has 4 exons.